AUUGAACGCUGGCGGCAUGCCUUACACAUGCAAGUCGAACGGUAACAGGUCUUCGGAUGCUGACGAGUGGCGAACGGGUGAGUAAUACAUCGGAACGUGCCCGAUCGUGGGGGAUAACGAGGCGAAAGCUUUGCUAAUACCGCAUACGAUCUACGGAUGAAAGCGGGGGAUCUUCGGACCUCGCGCGGACGGAGCGGCCGAUGGCAGAUUAGGUAGUUGGUGGGAUAAAAGCUUACCAAGCCGACGAUCUGUAGCUGGUCUGAGAGGAUGAUCAGCCACACUGGGACUGAGACACGGCCCAGACUCCUACGGGAGGCAGCAGUGGGGAAUUUUGGACAAUGGGCGAAAGCCUGAUCCAGCCAUGCCGCGUGCAGGAUGAAGGCCUUUGGGUUGUAAACUGCUUUUGUACGGAACGAAAAGCCUCUUUCUAAUAAAGAGGGGUCACGACGGUACCGUAAGAAUAAGCACCGGCUAACUACGU
This 481-nucleotide ribosomal RNA is filed under the name uncultured bacterium. RNAcentral describes it as "partial 16S ribosomal RNA". It matches the Rfam family "Bacterial small subunit ribosomal RNA", at positions 30 to 506 of the family's 1533-position model. The record is from RNAcentral.